RNAcentral lists this ribosomal RNA (340 nucleotides) under Blastocystis sp. RNAcentral's name for it is "SSU rRNA". It matches the Rfam family "Eukaryotic small subunit ribosomal RNA", at positions 18 to 368 of the family's 1831-position model. The record is from RNAcentral. Lineage: Eukaryota; Bigyra; Opalinata; Blastocystidae.
UAGUAGUCAUACGCUCGUCUCAAAGAUUAAGCCAUGCAUGUGUAAGUCUAAAUAGGUUUAGUGUGAAACUGCGAAUGGCUCAUUAUAUCAGUUAUAGUUUAUUUGGAAUAGUAGUUAUAUGGAUAACCGUAGUAAUUCUAGGGCUAAUACAUGUGUUUUCGUUCGUGGGUAACCAUGAAGGAAGUACUUAUUAGGUGUAAAACCAGCAUUUGUUGGUGAGUAAUAAUAAUUGUGUUAGGUAUCGCAUGCUUGUUAGUAGCGAUGUUCCUUUCAAGUUUCUGCCCUAUCAGCUUUCGAUGGUAGUGUAUUGGACUACCAUGGCAGUAACGGGUAACGAAGA